CAAGAAACGUUAAAAACCCCCAAAAACCUCCUGCCACCACCACAACAAAACCCAUAAAUAAGAAAUAAACAACAACCCAAAACAAACAAAUUAAAAAACUCAAAAAAAUCCCACAACCAACUAACCAGCCAACAAAACCCACAAACAAACAAACAAUGCCCAAUACCCCAAAAAGGAGCAUAAAAUAUCUAUUUCUUUACGCACAUUAUUUUGUGUUUGGAUUGGUGCUGUUGUAUUGACACAGAAAAUAUUUUCACAACAGAGUAGUUGUCUUGUGAGAUUGGAUGUCUGUCUUCUCAUUAUUGGAAAGGGAUAGACUGUAUCUUUGCCUAGAUCUUGCAUUCUAAAGUCUGUACUUAUUUUAAAAAGGACUCAAAUGUAAUUUUUUUUUUUUUUUAGUGUGAAGUGCUGAAAUUUUUAUUGCCAGCGUGUCUUAUGAGCCAAUCAAUUUGCACAGAGCUUUGGAAGACUUGCCUAGAGUAGGAAUCUGCUCUAUACUGUGAAUUCUAAGGAGUAUGUACUCAUACUAAUGUAAAGGAUGACUCUUCCACAAUUCAUAGGAUUAUGACAUGUAGAAGCAAUCCUUCAGCUAUAGGGCUGGCUAGACCAUCAGUAGACUUGUAAUGUGUUUGUUUAUGAAAUGCUUAUGAAGGCCUUUCCUCUAAAACCUUUACUCAAAAUGAAUUGAGUUUGCUGCAAAUAUAUAGUGGUAUAUGUGCUCUGCAAUAAUGGAAACAUUUCAAUCAGUACAUAUAUGUGUGUGUGUGUGUAUAUAUAUAUAUAUAUAUAUGUAUAUAUCUGUGUGUGUGUGUAUAUGUAAUGUAUUGUUUGAAUAUAUUUCAUGUUCAUUCCAUGUACAUAUGCCUACAAAGUCAAGUGCUUUUUAUGUGAUAGAUGCUAGAUAGAUAGAUAGAUAGAUAGAUAGAUAGAUAGAUAGAUAGAUUCAGAAUCAUUCUUCUUCUUCUUUUGGGUUAACCCUGAUAGCCAGGAAUGGGAACCUCAUGAGAUUCAGAAAGGCCACAUGCACAUUCCUCCACCUGAUCGGGGCAACCCCCAGUAUGAACAGAUGCUGUGGGAUGAAGAGAUUUAGAAUAGCCCGACAAGAAGGACUUGGGGGUGCUGGUGUAUGGAAAGUUAGAUAUGAGCUGGAAAUAUGCAAUUUUGGCCCAGAAACCAAAUAGAUCCUGGACUGAAUAGGAAGAAACAAAAAUUACUCAAGCAAAUGGUAAAAUAACUCUAUUUCAAAUAUUGCAUCUUAACAUUUACUUUGAUAGCUCAAGAUGAACAAUGCUUUAGGAAAUGGGGACAAGACCCCAGGGAUUGUUCAGUGUGGAAGAUGAAUUCUUAAUAAAUAACAGUUUCCUGCUUGAACAUAUUUUCUUAUGUUUCCCAUCACUUACUAAGUGAUAGAAUGCUGAAAGUCAAACAAUUUUUCUACUAAGUCAUAUUGUCUGCUUAUAUCUGAACUGUUCAUUUUGCAGUGUAGUAUCUCAAACUCUUUUAUGAAGUUAAUAGCAAUAUCUGCCUGAGGCAACAUGCUCAGAAGCCUUCUACAUGGACUUCAGAAGAGGGAUUACCACCAAGGAGCAUUUCAGCAGUUCAAAUUGCAGAUUUCACAUAUGCUGGCAGCAAGGCUUUGCUGAGUGUUUUAAACAUAGGAGCAAGGUGCUCUGGAGUUGACAUCACCAGGUCAGGGUGAGGUCUGCUUAAAUCAGGUUUGCUAUAAAAUUCUCAGGUCUUUUCCUUCUUGCCUGUGAACCACUCCUGCGGUUUUUUCUCUUCACAUUUUGAGCUAAUUGUACUGCUUCAGUCAAAGGCAAUAAUUUGUGUUAGCACAGAAAAAAAUCUUUUUUUCAAUAGAGCAUCCACAACAUGGUAUUUCUCAUUGCAGUCAAGUGCUGUAGCUCUUCCUUCAUAGAGGGUGGUACAUAGUUCAGCCAACGUGAUCCCAGCUCACAGCCAUGUUUCAGAAAGCGUACUUUGGUCAGAAUGGAUCUGUUUGCAUUUUUGCCCUCUGUGCAGUGUCUGUUUUUAAAGACACAUUUCAGCCAGCAGUGUAGAUGCAUCCAAAGCAUUUAGAGCAGUCUGUAAGAGCAAAACUGAACAAACGAUCAUGAUGCACCCCAUAAUAAUAUAGAAACUUUUGUAAUUUGAGUAAAAAUCAAGCCCAGGUUUUGUUUGAAAAUUAGUGCAGAUGCAAUUAAAUAAGGUAGAUAUUGUUGUCAUGCAAUGCUUCUUAAAGUUGUCAUGUUUGUGCUAUACUCUUUUAGUUCUACAGAUAGAAACUAUAUUUGGGGUUAUCCUUCCUAUAGGUUUUUGUGCCUUAGCUUUUGGUUUUGCUUUUGUUUUGGGCUUUUAGUUUGGUUUGGAGGGGUGUUUUUUGGUUUUUGUUUGUUUUGUGCUUUUGUUGUUUGUUUGUUUUGUUUGUUAGCUUGUUCUUUUUUAACUGGGAGAUAAUUAUUUUGUUAAUGAGGGAGUAGAUUAGACGCUUGCAAAAAAAUGGAAUUUUGAAUGUUGAUGUCAUGUCAGGCUAUGUGAGUGCAAAAGUACAGAAGCACAGUGGGGGAUCAGAUCCAGUAGUUGACAGCUAAAAAAUAUGGGUUUUAUUAGUAGAGAUUUAAUGCCAUAUAAAUCUUUCUAUUUUUUUUGUUUUCAUAUAUUAGUCUUGAAAGACAGAACAAUGGGCUCAUAUUUUGCUAGUGGGUUUUUUUUUUUUUCAAACUGCAGAAAUGUCUAAAUUGUAAAGUAAUGCAUUGAAACAUCUUGAUGGAAUUAAAACUAUGUAAUUCCAUUAUUAGAGGGCUCUUGGUUUGCUUAAGGAUAUAUAGCAACAAAAGCCAAAUAGGCAGUUAUAAUCUGUUAUGUAGUGAAUACAGCUAGUAGAGAAGGUAUCCUCUACCACCAGCUUCUUAAAAUUAAAUCUACAUUUUAUUAAAGUAAGUCCAUGUAAUAUUAUAUACUUUUAUUUCAUUAUGGAGCUUGGAGAUAAACUUUUUCUUUGAACUUUGUGGGAGGGGAGGUAAAAAACCCGACUUCCACAAUUUCAAGGACAAAGCAAAGCAUAGUCUUUUCAUUUUCAGGAUCUUUUUAAGUGAAAGAGGGUCAUGUCAUUUGUAUGCUGACAUCCUUCCUAUUGUUUUCAUUAAAGAAAGAAGAGUGAGAGUCUGAGAAAUCUUGAGCUGUGCCUGAUAAGAAAUUUUUAAAAGAUGACCCCAACCUGUGGAAGAUGAUUUAUGAAAUCAUGGUUUUCAUUAUUAGAGUUAGUGCUGACUCUGUUGUUUUUGAUUGAUAUACCUGGAGCUUAUAGGCUUCAUUUUUUCUCUUAAGCAAAGAGCAAGGGCAUUGGAAUUUUACUGGAGAACAAAGUUAUGUAAAAGACAUCCAGGCACCAAAACAGGUAUCACUAAAGAUGAAAGGGUGACAGAGAAACAUCAGUCAUGCUUUUUAAGUUCCUAUGUAACAUAUAUAAAGCUUAAGAUUUUAACAAAACUUUAGGGACAACAAUAUUGGAAAAAAAGAGCGUAAUUUACUUUUUAUACACAAUCACUGAUGUAAGAUAUUACAAGUAAUUUGAUUCCCUUCUCCAUAUCUGUCACUAAAAAUGAAAAGAUAAUAAAAAGUCCCCUUAAAAUUUCCUCCCCUGCAACAGAAAUUCCAAAUGCAAAAACUGCAAGAAAAUAUUGUAGUUCUAUAUACUAUAUUGGUAUAUGUGUGGUGCCUAAAUUGACAACGCAGUGCAUAUCUCUGCUAUUGAGGUUACAAAAAGAUAUGCUUGCUCUUGAAAACACUUAAGAUGUCUAAACUGAGCUGACAGCAAAAUAUAUGCUAUAUUAAGAUGUAGUUUACAUUUCAUGAAUAGUUCACCCAUCCUGUUGUCAAUGUCCAGGUAAAUGUCAGUGUAAUUUGUUUCUCAUUAUUAAAAGUCCAAAUUGUCAGAAUAAUAUUUCUCUUUCAAAAACAAAGCAAAACAAAAUGUCCUAAAAUUUUUGUCUUGUAUCAAACUCAAACUACAGAGAGAGACAGUUACUUUGUUUGGAGAACUAAGGAAAAAAAUUAUAAAUGUGUUUUUAUUAAAUGAAAUUUUUGGCUGAGAGUGAAGCAUAUUGAUAGGAAGCAAGGUAAGAAUGUGUUCUACAGUAAUAUUUUCUUUAGUUGUUAUUACAAUCUUGUUUGCUGAGGAUUCUUGUGCAAGUUAAGUUAUGGAGGAACAUAAUACUUUAAGAGAAGAAUUAUAUUACGACUUACCUGUCAGGGUCCAAAAUCACAGAAUCAUAGAGUCAUAAAGUUAGAAGGGACCUUAAAGAUCACCUAGUUCCAACAUCCCUGCCCUAGGCAUGGGCAGCUUCCACUAGACCAGGCUACUUCUAGCCAUGUAUUUUUUUUUUUUCUUGUGAUACUUAGUUUUACAAGUAAUGAUAAGUUAUGGCAUCCAUUGCUAAACAUCAUGCAGCUGAGGUAAAGGACUGUACAUUGGAGUUUCCAUUCUCAUUUAUCUCUAGUUUAAAAAAUCCAUUUACAGUAGAAGCUGCUGGAAAUUACUGGAAAGCACAGUGGAAGCUAGAUCUAGAAUGAAACUACUACUACCACAGCCAGAACAUGUUCUCACAAAUCAGUUUACCUGCACUUCCUGUUAGCUAAGAACAAAUGACUGGUUACAGAUAGGUUGUCUGUAAAACCUCAUCUGCUGGAUCUUAUGGCUGAGCCUUAAGGAAGCCUUAUUGCACCAGUAAGACUUAAAGUACGCAUGACCACCUAAAAAUAAAAGGAGAAAAGGGAGAUGUGGAGACAUGAAGAAUAGAAAAGGUUGGUUUUUUUUUUUUUGUGAGAGGUUUACUUACACCAUUUACUGCAUAUGUAUGAAUAUUAUGUAUAUAACAGUUUUCAGACACCAAAGCAUUAAUAAUUCUGUUAUUGAAUUGUGUUGUGUAAUAUUAGCUUAAUGGUGUAAGUCAAAACCUAAUAAGCCACAAUCUGAGCUACAGAUUUUGAGGAAAACACUUAAGACAUUAGCUGCACUCUGCACUGCACACAAUGCAUAGUGUCACUUGCAUUAUUAAUAAAGUUCAAUAAAAAUACAAGAAUCCUGGUGUAUUUUUAGUACAUGCAAAACUUUUCUACUUUUGAGAGAUUUAUGUUUUGUAUGGUAUGAGCAAAUUGCUGCUCUGAAAUGCUACUAAUAGUAAUUAGAGUAUUGCAGAAAUUUCUUUGUGGAACUGUCCCUUUUUAGCAUGGAUUCUAAAUAGUGCCCAUAAUUGCAGUGCUAAGCAUAGUACUAAAUAGUCAUUAUGGAGAGGUAUGUAAGUGAGGAAUUGGUGAACUUUAGGAACGUGAAAAUAUGAUCUUCACACUUCAAUUAAGCAUCAGAAAUUUUCUUUAAUCAUUAAAAUACUGAAAUGCACCAUUCUUUAAUGCCUAUUUGGGUUUUAUUGGUUCAUUUCUUAAAAAGAAAAAAAGAUGCAUUUUUUGUUCAAUUCUCUUUGCAUGCAUGAAUUUUCUUUUGACAGACUAAGUACACAAUUCAAUCAGGUUUUGUAAUCUUUUCACUGUGACUUUUAUUGAAGCAAGCUAUACUGAACUGUAUUCAAUAUUGGAGAGUACAAAUUUCAACUUUAUUUUAACACGCAGUCUUUUAAAUGAGUAAGAGUUUUGGAGACCAUAAAUGGUAGCUUGAUUGAUAUUUAGCUUCUAAUACAAAACUCUCUCUGGGCUGGAAGAUCACAGAAUCAGAGGAUGGUUGGGUUGUCUGGAGAUCAUCUAGACCAACUUCCCUCCAAGAAUUCUGUCCAGGCAGGUUUUGAGUAUCUCCCGAGAAAAGGAUUCCACAGCCUGUGUCAGUGCUCUGUCACCCUCCCAGUAGAGAACUUUUUCCUCAUAUUUGGGUGGCAUUUGUCAUGAUAAAUUUUGUGCUUGUUCCUUUUUCUGCCACUGGGCAGCACUGAGAGGUGUCUGUCCCUGCUACAUUUCUUUUAAAGUGGUUGAGUAAGCAAUAUUACUAAUUUUUAAACAAAAUGUAUCAAACCACAUUCCUUCUAACUUGAGUUACAACCCACACAUUUGUGAUCUAGGAGCAGUUUAUCUGAAAGAAUUUAGACAGACCCACAUGUAAGAUAUCCUUUUUUUGCCGCAGAACAAUCUGUUUAGGUAGAAGAUGUUUUAUUAGCAAGGUUUAGGAAAUCUGGAUGCUUCAUUAAUCCCCAUCUAUUGCUCUUUUGCAAGAAACUGACUCUUACUUGUAUUCUCAUUAGGCAUGUUCAUUCCACUACAUUUCAAGAAAGGGAAAGCCUUGUUCUUCCCACUGAAAUCACAUCUCUGGACAGUCCUAGUAGAAAACUGUGAAUUUAGAUAUAUGUCAGGUAUUUUUUUAAGGACUCUUUUGAAUUCAUACACUAUUUAUUUUAAUGCUAAAAGAAUUAUAAGCAAGCAGUUCCUUAUUCAGACAGUCAGGAUGACUUUGCACUAAGAACAAGGAAUUACCGUUUAAUAAAAAAUUUUGUUUGGUACUUUUAGUCCUUAAAAAAACCCCCACCACAAUACUGGUUGCAAUAGCUUAACUGAUUUCAGUGAUGUUCUUUUUCUUAGGAUAAAGCAGUGACAUUUUUAUACAAAUAAAGGAGAUUCCACUUCUUUGCCAUUACUUUUCUAUUUGUUAUUUCAGAAAAUUACAUUAUAUAUCAGCCUCCGUGUUUCAUACACCCUGGGAUUCAUCGAUCUGUAUUAGGGUAGAUUUCCUAAAUACAGAUGUCAGCCAUGGAAGAAGACAUACUCACUUUUCAUAUUUCUAUGAAAUAAAAGGAAUUAUGCAACAUAACUCUUCAAAUCUGCGAGAUAAAUACUUAAAACAUCUCUGUACUCUGAUUUUCCACAUUGAUUUGCAAAGGAGACUUCACACUUGCAUGUGUAACUUUUAAGAUUCUAAAGUUAAGUGAGAUGAUUCUCUCUUUAAGUUGGAAAUUAUCACUUUAAACUAAUUACAGCUUUGUAGCACAUCUGAGAAAGCAGAGAAUCCAUAUGUUCAUGAAAUUCAUUUUCAAUUUACAGAUUUGUAAAAUAGUAGCAACUUGUAUUAAUUUUCCUUUAUAGAAGAAGUAUUUCUCAAUUUAUUCUUAUCAUGAAUGGAAUAGAUAAAGAGAUUAAAUACAUCCGUUCUAUUGAUAAAAACCUCAAAGUAAAAUGAUCCCCUCUUUUUUUUUCCUACUUUUUGUAAAGGGCUUUUCAAAACCUUUAAUAUUUAGUUUAGGUUUGUUGUAGAAAUGAUAUACUUAGUAUAUAAAACAUUAAUAAUUGUUUAUAAUAGGUACCACCUUUCUGUCCACUGUGUUUAAACAUUCUGGGGCUUCUAAAGGAUUAAAAAUGGAAGAUGAUUCCGUGAAUUGAAAAAAGUGUGUCCUUUCAAAAUGGUUAUUUAUGAAAUUUAGAAUUUCUGAAUCAUUUUAUCUUCUGUGAAAUCCUUUAUAACAUUUUUCUCCCCUCUUCUCUCAUGGUAAAGUUCAAUCCUGUGUUGAAUCUCUCCGAAUCAACUGGAGGCAAAUUAUAAGUAGUGGCAUGGUAAAAAAGUUGGGUUUUGUUUUUUUUUUUUUGGUUUGGUUUUUUUUUUUCCCAAAUACCUAUCUUUAGAUAGUUUAGGCUUAUACCCAGAAUAUGAGAAUUUUUUUUUUUUGGUGUGUAAAAUGGACAUAUGAUAGCUAGAUGUUUGUGUUAUUAUUAUUUCACGUUGGAGCUGAAAACUCUGUUGGGAUUUCAGGUACAUGUACAAUUUAAGAAAAUGUACUAAUGAUUUAGGGACAAACCUAAGCCAUUACUCAGGGACAAUUCAUGAUGCCAAGGGGUAAAUAAUUCAAUCACAUUACUGGUACUUGUAUCAUCUUCAAAUAGUUUCCUUUUAUUUUAAGUAGGAAUUUUGAUCCUUGAGGAGCAACAAGCAAUUUCUUUGUUCCUUUGUUAUGCAUAUAAAUUUACUGGGGGGAUGGAGGUGGGGAGGGGGAAGGAAGGGGAAGUAUCUCUAACGACAGAUAAGUAUUGCAUUCUCUGCCUUGACAGCAUUGACUAAAAUUUCUUUCCCAGAAUUCAUUCCUGGAAUAUUAUAGCUUUUGUAUGUACUUCUAGUAAACAUAAUUAAACAAUAAUUAAAUAUUUCUAGCUGUGCUGUUCAUCAAAAAGAAGCAGAGAUAAAAAAUGUUUUCUGCAAUUAGUAAUUUGAGUUGAUCCUUUCAUAAUUUAGUUCUGACACCUGCUCAGACAGAAACCAAAUUUAAUCUAGAAGUAAUUUUCCUGUACAGUACUUUAUACUGGGAGAAAAAGCAUGAGGACAAGACUGUCUUUCAUGCAGAUGAGAAGCCAUGGGAGAGACAUACAUCAUACAAAGAAGAUAAGCAUGGGUGCAAUGGAUUUAAACAAGAGCCUGUCUGAAAUUUUAAAAUCUUGGAAAAGCAGAAGCUGUGUUCACAGUGUGGUUCAAAGACAAAGCAGAACAUUAAUUUAAUAGGAGGUGGAAACUUCUGUAAAGAUGGGGAUGAAAUCUACAAGAAAAGUCUUGCUGACUGUGUUGUGUCAUUGGGUUGAACUUCUACAUGCAAAUCAAAUGCCAUGUAAUCAUACUGAGACCAUCAUUAAAAAAUGAAAUCAAAUUCCAUUAUAAAGGAAAAGGUGACCCAAAGACUCUUAGACUACAUUUCAGUACUUUACAUCCCUCAUGACCAAAAUCAUAAGUUUCAAAACAAAGGUUAGAAUUUGUGCUUAAAAAAAUUAUAUUUGCUGGUGUGUACUUGACUUUUUUUUUUUUUUUUUUUAAGUGAAAGCUAGAGUUUUACUCCAGAGCUAAAGGGGCUGGGAAUAACUAACAGCACCAACUGUCCAUUAUAGGCAGUGGUUCUUUUUCCAAUACCAACCUUAUCCUUAAAUACUUGCCUGUGUUUUGCCUAUUUUUCCAAAAAUAUGUUUCCAAUUUUUACUGUUUUCAUAAUGGUAAUUAUUUUAUACUCCAUAUCAACCAUUACACAUAAUUUAUAUUAGAGUAAGGAGGAACCCUGCAAAAUAUGUACAGAAGUGUCUUUGUCACCAAGUCAUCUUACACAAAGAGAAAGAAACACUGUUUAAAAGGGAAAGCCCUUCUGCACAUGGAAUUGGGUAUUUGAGAUGGUUGUAAUUUUUAGAAAAAUACAAGAAUAUGUAAGUAUAUAUACCUUCUUUUAGUGUCACAUAUAUUUUUUAAAAAAUUUUUGGUUCUAUAAACUUGUAUUUACUUACUAAUAUUUUGACUAAAUGAUGGUAGUAGCAAAAGAAUGGAAAGUAUUAAACAUUGUAAUAUAUUUCUCAGUCCGUUUUGACAGCAAUCAUGGAAGAACAGCCAUGAGCUAAAUGCUUUCCCAAAUCUUCUGCCUCUCCUCUGUUCUUCUGCCUGGGUAGCAUGUGGAACUUAGAGCUUACAAAGUCUCUUGAUGACUUUGCCUGUAUUGGUUCCUGCAGUAUCUGCCUCACUCUUUGCUUUGUGAAUAUAUAUGACUUUGGGACAUUCCUGAAAUGUAAUGUAUAUCUGAGUAGAAUUCAUCAAUAUGACAUUUAAAAUGACCAAAUUCCAUGCUAUAUUCCCAGUGUUAGAGCAAGAACAGUGAGAAUAAAACAAGAAAAUUCUAAAUAAAAUAAUGGUUUUUUUCAAUUGAGACAAUUUUGUAAAGGAGCCAAUUUUCAAGUCUGUGAGCCAUUUUCAAUUAAUUUGUCUUUCAAAAAAAA
Long non-coding RNA from Taeniopygia guttata (zebra finch), 9726 nucleotides. The record is from Ensembl. NCBI's taxonomy places the organism in Eukaryota, Metazoa, Chordata, Aves, Passeriformes, Estrildidae.